UUGAACGCUGGCGGCAUGCUUUACACAUGCAAGUCGAACGGCAGCGGGGGCUUCGGCCUGCCGGCGAGUGGCGAACGGGUGAGUAAUGCAUCGGAACGUACCCAGUCGUGGGGGAUAACUACGCGAAAGCGUGGCUAAUACCGCAUACGCCCUGAGGGGGAAAGCGGGGGACCUUCGGGCCUCGCGCGAUUGGAGCGGCUGAUGUCGGAUUAGCUGGUUGGUGGGGUAAAGGCCUACCAAGGCGACGAUCCGUAGCUGGUCUGAGAGGAUGAUCAGCCACACUGGGACUGAGACACGGCCCAGACUCCUACGGGAGGCAGCAGUGGGGAAUUUUGGACAAUGGGCGCAAGCCUGAUCCAGCCAUGCCGCGUGAGUGAAGAAGGCCUUCGGGUUGUAAAGCUCUUUCAGACGGAAAGAAACGGUUACGGAUAAUACCUGUGACUAAUGACGGUACCUUCAGAAGAAGCACCGGCUAACUACGU
Molecule: ribosomal RNA, 482 nt
Filed under: uncultured bacterium
Lineage: Bacteria
Description: bacterial SSU rRNA
Rfam family: Bacterial small subunit ribosomal RNA
Source: RNAcentral